RNAcentral lists this long non-coding RNA (329 nucleotides) under Nicotiana benthamiana. RNAcentral's name for it is "long non-coding RNA (NBEN_LNC028454)". The record is from RNAcentral. Lineage: Eukaryota; Viridiplantae; Streptophyta; Magnoliopsida; Solanales; Solanaceae.
UGUUUAAUGAAACAUUUUUUCCUUUUGUAACUAAUUCUAAUAUUACCUGUAGUCCUUCUAUUUUCUCUUUUCCACCUCCUAUUGUCCCUUCUUCUGAUCAGCAGAAUUCUGGGACACACAUUUCUGUCCCAACUUGUUCUCAUGUUCCUUCUCCUCCUGAAUCUUUUCCUUCUACUUCUAGUCUUGCUCAUUCUUUUGUUCCCGACUCACCAUUUUCUGAACCUGUUCCUUCUACUUCCAGUCCAUCCUUUAAUCCUGAUAUUCCACCUCCUGCUAUUCUUUCCCCUACACACCCUAAUGUCAACAGAAGAUCUGGAAGGAAACACACC